RNAcentral lists this long non-coding RNA (217 nucleotides) under Elaeis guineensis (African oil palm). Its description in RNAcentral is "long non-coding RNA (EGUI_LNC029217)". The record is from RNAcentral. Lineage: Eukaryota; Viridiplantae; Streptophyta; Magnoliopsida; Arecales; Arecaceae.
ACUUCCGACGCCGGCGAGGCUUUUCCGGCGAGAAAUUGGAUGGCACAAGGACGGGUCUCCGCGGGAUUUUUCCGACGAUUGCCGCCGUUUGAGCUUAGAAUUUUCGGUGGAAAGGAGAGAGGAGGGAUCUCCUCCUUAAAUAGGGCCGGAGAGAACUUGUUUCCGACUCCGAUUAGGAGCCGGUGAACGGAGGAAGAAGACUCCCUUCGGGAGUUCU